This 515-nucleotide ribosomal RNA is filed under the name uncultured soil bacterium. RNAcentral's name for it is "bacterial SSU rRNA". It matches the Rfam family "Bacterial small subunit ribosomal RNA", at positions 27 to 529 of the family's 1533-position model. The record is from RNAcentral.
GGAAUGAACGCUGGCGGCGUGCUUUACACAUGCAAGUCGAGCGAGGCGGGGAGCAAUCCCCAGUCGAGCGGCGAACGGGUGAGUAACGCGUGGAUGACCUGCCCUUCAGCGGGGGAAUAACCCGGGGGAAACUCGGGCUAAUACCGCAUACGACCGAGAGGUGAAAGGGGGGCCGCAAGGCUCUCACUGAAGGAGGGGUCCGCGUCCGAUUAGCUAGUUGGUAGGGUAAUGGCCUACCAAGGCGACGAUCGGUAGCCGGCCUGAGAGGGUGAUCGGCCACACUGGAACUGAGACACGGUCCAGACUCCUACGGGAGGCAGCAGUGGGGAAUUUGCGCAAUGGGCGGAAGCCUGACGCAGCAACGCCGCGUGGAGGAUGAAGGUCUUUGGAUUGUAAACUCCUGUCAGCAGGAAAAGCGACUGGACCUCAUACGUCUGGGAGUUGAUUGUACCUGCAGAGGAACGCCCCGGACUAACCGUCUCGUCGCCGUAGCCAGCCGACGGUAAUCUAGGACG